Long non-coding RNA from Panicum virgatum (switchgrass), 2045 nucleotides. RefSeq lists it as uncharacterized. The record is from RefSeq and is a predicted model, not a curated record. NCBI's taxonomy places the organism in Eukaryota, Viridiplantae, Streptophyta, Magnoliopsida, Poales, Poaceae. The transcript is spliced from 3 exons.
CUCGCGAAGAGCGCCGGCGGCACACGCAGCCCGAGGCCGAGGCCUUCGCAAAUGCUGAUUCCGCAGCCGUGCCUAUCCUCUGCAGCAGAUCAGUGGCUUCCCAUGAGACCAGACUUGCAGGCCUCUGCGCCACGGCCGGACCAGCUGGGUUGGCCGCCGGCGUGCCCCCAGCUGGAGCAAUAUGGGCAUAUGGCCGCCGCCUCAGUGCCCCCUGCGCCACAAGCCCAGUGUCCCCUGCAGCAUAUCCGGCCAUCGCCGCACCCCUGCCCUUGGACCACGGGCCGUCGCGCCACUGGCCCCCUUCACCACGGCUGGCCUCCGCGCCGCCGAGGGGAGCAGAGUCGGCCAGCGCCACGCCAUGCACCACGAGCGUCCGCUGCCGCGCCACCGGCCGGAGCAGGGGCCGCCACCUCUCGCCUCGGCCACCGCCGGCCCACCGCCGGAGCGCCACCUUGCUACCCUCUCCGUCUUCCUCCCUUCCCUGCCUCAUCAAAUGGAUCACGCCCAGCCGGCCACUAACUGCUCGAAGAAAUGCCUCAAAGGGAAGGUGUUGGGUGGACAAAAUUUUCAGGACAGCUCAAUAACAUAACAACGUGUGCACAAACCUAGAAUAUUUGCUUCCACUUAUUUUUUUUCUAUUGCAUUUCUUUACAUUUACUGUUAUGCUUCAAUUAAGUUAUUUCUUUCUUACUUACUGCAGGCUUCCUUGCAUUGUCAAACUAGCGAUGCAGUAAACGAGUUGCAGGGCAAAAUAACUCCAUUAUAGAGCUGCAUCCCAUGAACGCUCUGUACAAUGUUCUUGUCAGGGUGUCAAGGACUUGGGAAUUUAGGGGUAAAAGUGAGAACAACCCUCUAAUCCAUUUUGACAUGGUCCUCAUUGAUCAAAUGGUAUGACUACAUACUCCUUUGGCACUAAUUUUUAUAGAGAUAAUCUUUCAAAGCAUUUCUCCUACAAAACUAUGUUCACGUAAUUUUAAAUCUAUGAAAUUGGAAUUACAGGGUUAUGCGGUGUACUGUGAGGUACCUCCACAAGUGCUGGAUCAGUUAAAGCAAUAUUUACAAGAAGUAAAGGUUCUCUAUAUAUGCAAUGCAUGUGUUGAAAGGGCUAUACCUGGAUUUAGAGUUGUGGAUGCCCCUUACAUAUUAAAACUGAUCAUGAGAACACAGAUUUUUUAAGAAAAUAGCAGUGAUACAACUUUUCCAAAGUAUGUAUUUUCAUUAACCCCAAUCGAAAUGCUACCACAAUAUGCAAGAAGGACAAACCGUUUCCUAGGUAACAAAAAGAACUAUUUACACACAUUUAUACUUGCCUCACACUUAAUCUGCACAUGUUCAUUAAAUAUAGUAGGCUAUCAUAACUUACAGUCUUUUUGGAAUGUAGAUGUCAUUGGAAAAAUCACUCUGUCAUCUCAAAUGUAGCUGUAGCAUGUAACACAUCUGGAGAUCUUUUACAUCCAAUUGAUAUCAGCUGCCAUUCUAUCUCUUUGAUGAUGUUUAGUCGCUCUGCCUGUAAUGAUUACAAUCCUAUGAUCUAUGCAUCAGAAGCACAGUUAAGCCUUCAGUUCAUUUUUCUUGAGAUGUUAACCUGUUCAAGCUUAUGCGGUUGGACAACCGUGAGCAACAGGAGAGGAAGAAGCUAAAAAACUAAAGAAUGAUCCAAGGACUACACAGCUAGCAGCAAGCAAACCAAACAGAAGGAUAUUUUGUUGUGCAAGACAUGCCAAUAUGGAUCGUGCUUCUGCUUAUAAUUUUGGAUACAACUUUGGCUAACUGAUGCUUUUGCUUUUGGGAUACAUCUUUAGGUCGAAAAAUAAACUUUCGACAGCCCAGAACAUUUGUAGCCACCACAGAAUAACAUCGAUGAUGAAAUGAAAAAUUAAAACAUAUCUAUCUUUUGAGAACAAAGAUUAGGUUCACUGCUUCCGCUGAGCAGUGCUAUUUUAGUUUACUUAAUAUUAAGGUUGUAAGCAACAUAGUAUGAUGACUUCAAUGCCUCGCCUAAGACGUGCUUUAUUACUUUAUAACAGAAAGAGAUCUCAAAAUCA